CUUCCUAAUACCAAACCUUAAUUUUUUCCUUCAAAACAAGCAAUGUGGCAUCAAUUCCAGUGAUGGGGAAAGGCUGGAAGAAGCUGGAUUUCACACAGUGGAGGCUCUGGCUUUUGGAACAGAGAAGGAGCUGCUGAACAUUAAAGGCACCAGUGAAACCAAAGCUGAGAAAAUCUCGGUAAGGAUGUUCUGGAACUUUAACCCAUCCUGAUUUUCCUUCUCUCUCCCUGUCAGGCUGUACCUGCGACAAGGCCGAGGUGAGGCCAGGAUCUGUAACACCUCUGACCCUCCAUGUCUUGGCAAAGCUGAAGUUUGCUGUCAGUGCCGAUAGAAUGGGUGGUGCUAAAGACUGAGAACUCCUUCUGCGGGCACGGGGCAGGGCCGGGAGCUCCCGGGCAGCUCCCCCGGCAAUUCCCCGCCGCUCCCCCCGCAUCCCGCCCGGACACGCUGCGGAGAAUCCCGGCGGCCACAGCUGGGAACUCGCUGAACUGGGAGCAAAGCUGAAGGGUUUGUCCAGCGAGAGAGGCGGUGAUUUACAGAGCAAAGCAGAGUGGCAUUCCACACCGGGAAUUCGGGAUUUGGGAUGGUCCCAAUCCGUAAUCCAUAAUCUUUCUGUUCGUUUUCUUUCGGAUGCUGCAGCCUGACGGGCUGGGGGAGCUGCUCCUUUCCGUUCCCAUUUAAUUUUCUGCAUUUCAUGAAUUCUCUGUGGAAGUCUGCUUUUAACAAAAAGGCCCAGGAGGACAUUGAUGACAUCCCGCAGGCGUGCUCAGACCCAGGAUUGUUCUGGCUGGCAGAAGCUGCACCAAUCUCCCAGGAAUCUCAGUCUGCAUUUUCUUUUCUCCCGGUUCUCCCAAUCCUCACUUUGGGGGUGCAGUGCAGCCCUGCCCUGUCUAUCUCUAUCUAGAAGAGUUUUGGGGUUAAAAGUGUUCUUUUAUAUUCUGCAGUGUUUAUAAUUCAAUUAAAAAGAAUAAAACCAUA
Molecule: non-coding RNA, 978 nt
Organism: Taeniopygia guttata (zebra finch)
Lineage: Eukaryota; Metazoa; Chordata; Aves; Passeriformes; Estrildidae
Source: RefSeq, a predicted model, not a curated record